GACGGAGGAUGCAAGCGUUAUCCGGAAUUAUUGGGCGUAAAGCGUCCGUAGGCGGUUUCAAAAGUCUGUUGUUAAAGCUCACAGCUCAACUGUGAAUCGGCAAUGGAAACUAUGAGACUAGAGAGUGGUAGGGGUAGAGGGAAUUCCUAGUGUAGCGGUGAAAUGCGUAGAUAUUAGGAAGAACACCAGUGGCGAAGGCGCUCUACUGGGCCAUUACUGACGCUGAUGGACGAAAGCUAGGGGAGCGAAAGGG
This 253-nucleotide ribosomal RNA is filed under the name uncultured bacterium. Its description in RNAcentral is "partial 16S ribosomal RNA". It matches the Rfam family "Bacterial small subunit ribosomal RNA", at positions 524 to 776 of the family's 1533-position model. The record is from RNAcentral.